CUUUGUUUCCUUGCACUCCGUCAUGUUUUCCAUGUCGCUAGCUCAUUCAUUUUACAUCCGAUUUUUCACUCCUCAAAACAUUUUUUCUUUUU
Long non-coding RNA from Amblyraja radiata (thorny skate), 92 nucleotides. RefSeq lists it as uncharacterized. NCBI's taxonomy places the organism in Eukaryota, Metazoa, Chordata, Chondrichthyes, Rajiformes, Rajidae. The transcript is spliced from 3 exons. The record is from RefSeq and is a predicted model, not a curated record.